CAGCGCGGCAAGCUCGGAGCUUCGUGGCCGUCGAGUGCUUGUACUCCCUCAGGACGGAAGUCUCUAGACCUCACACUUGGAUGGCAGGCAGGGACUGGGGUGGAGACUGCUGGCUGUCCAUCUAGACACUCAUUCUCCAGCAUGUGGAUGACGCUAACGAGUCAAUGAAGUCCAGGAACGUGGGAUGAUCACACCACCCUUGGCUGUCCCCACAUCUCAAACUGGAAGGCCCUCAAAGAAGCCAGCUCCCUAGCUCAGAUAGAUGCCCACCCUCUGGCCACCCCCAUUCUGUGAAGUGCUGCUCAAUCUCCCUGUGCUGACCUGAUCCAAAUACUCUCCUCCACCAUCCGCUCUUCUGUUGCCAAGACGCAGCUGUCAGACUUUACCUCAGCCUCUACAGGGCAGUACUGUGCAAUGGUUAGAACACGAGCUCUGAACUCAGACUGCCUGAGUUUGAAUCUCUACUCUGCUACUUACUGUGCCUUUGGGUUCCUCGACUGUGACAUGGGCCUGAUAACUGCCUUCUUCAUAAAGUUGUUAAACUGAGUAAA
Lepus europaeus (European hare) is the source of this 551-nucleotide long non-coding RNA. RefSeq lists it as uncharacterized. NCBI's taxonomy places the organism in Eukaryota, Metazoa, Chordata, Mammalia, Lagomorpha, Leporidae. The transcript is spliced from 3 exons. The record is from RefSeq and is a predicted model, not a curated record.